Molecule: ribosomal RNA, 460 nt
Filed under: uncultured bacterium
Lineage: Bacteria
Description: partial 16S ribosomal RNA
Rfam family: Bacterial small subunit ribosomal RNA
Source: RNAcentral
CCUACGGGUGGCUGCAGUGAGGAAUAUUGGUCAAUGGGCGCGAGCCUGAACCAGCCAAGUCGCGUGAGGGAGGACGGCCCUACGGGUUGUAAACCUCUUUUGCCGGGGAGCAACGGGCGCCACGUGUGGCGUCACUGAGAGUACCCGGAGAAAAAGCAUCGGCUAACUCCGUGCCAGCAGCCGCGUUAGUACGGAGGAUGCGAGCGUUAUCCGGAUUUAUUGGGUUUAACGGGUGCGUAGGCGAAUCGUUAAGUCAGUGGUCAAAUUGAGGGGCUCAACCCCUUCCCGCCAUUGAAACUGGCGUUCUUGAGUGGACGAGAGGUAUGCGGAAUGCGUGGUGUAGCGGUGAAAUGCAUAGAUAUCACGUAGAACCCCGAUUGCGAAGGCAGCAUGCCGGCUUCCGACUGACGCUGAAGCACGAAAGCGUGGGGAUCGAACAGGAUUAGAUACCCUAGUAGUC